CGGGCGCCGCGCUCCCGCCCGC
RNAcentral lists this microRNA (22 nucleotides) under Homo sapiens (human). Its description in RNAcentral is "hsa-miR-9899". Lineage: Eukaryota; Metazoa; Chordata; Mammalia; Primates; Hominidae. The record is from miRBase by way of RNAcentral.